AGGGGGGAUAACGAUCCGGAAACGGGUAGCUAAUACCGCAUAGUUUUCUUGAUCGCAUGAUCGGGAAAGGAAAGACGGCCUUCGUGCUGUCGCUUAUGGAUGGACCCGCGGCGUAUUAGUUAGUUGGUGAGGUAAUGGCUCACCAAGACGAUGAUACGUAGCCGACCUGAGAGGGUGAUCGGCCACAUUGGGACUGAGACACGGCCCAAACUCCUACGGGAGGCAGCAGUAGGGAAUCUUCUGCAAUGGACGAAAGUCUGACGGAGCAACGCCGCGUGAGUGAAGAAAAGGUUUUCGGAUCGUAAAACUCUGUUGUCAGAGAAGAACAAGUUGGAGAGUAACUGCUCCAGCCUUGACGGUAUCUGACCAGAAAGCCAUGGCUAACUACGUGCCAGCCGCGGC
Molecule: ribosomal RNA, 402 nt
Filed under: uncultured bacterium
Lineage: Bacteria
Description: bacterial SSU rRNA
Rfam family: Bacterial small subunit ribosomal RNA
Source: RNAcentral